AGGAUGGGCCCGCGUCCCAUUAGCUAGUUGGUGAGGUAAAGGCCCACCAAGGCAACGAUGGGUAUCCGGCCUGAGAGGGUGAACGGACACAUUGGGACUGAGAUACGGCCCAAACUCCUACGGGAGGCAGCAGCUAAGAAUCUUCCGCAAUGGACGAAAGUCUGACGGAGCGACGCCGUGUGAAUGAAGAAGGCCGAAAGGUUGUAAAAUUCUUUUGCAGAUGAAGAAUAAGAAGAAGAGGGAA
This 244-nucleotide ribosomal RNA is filed under the name Treponema denticola. RNAcentral describes it as "partial 16S ribosomal RNA". It matches the Rfam family "Bacterial small subunit ribosomal RNA", at positions 222 to 464 of the family's 1533-position model. Lineage: Bacteria; Pseudomonadati; Spirochaetota; Spirochaetia; Treponematales; Treponemataceae. The record is from RNAcentral.